GCCUCUUUCUAAUCUCUGCAAAGCUCUCCAAUUCCAGAAAGACAAUUCAUAAAGAAUGGGUCAUCCCACCCAUUUAUUCUGGGCAGAACCACGAGACCAGGUUGCUGAAGGGGAUCUUGAAUCUACUCUGCAAUUUUGCCCAGGGUGGGCCUGGAGCAGAGAAAUGAGGAGAGAAGUUAAGCAAUGGAAGCAAGAGCAGCUGGGGCCUGCCAGGACUGAGCUGAGGAUGUUCAUGAUUGGCUUCCAUUUGGAACUCAGCAAAUGACUGAGGCUGCCCAUGGCUUACCAUUGAGAGAAGGCCACACCAAGGCCUGGGAACAGCCAGCUAUGGGCAGAUCAGGCCAGCACCUCCUAAACCAGCCUGUACCUCCACUUCUCUGUGCUGAUUGUACCAUUCUGGUGGGGAAAUGUUGAUAAGGGGAGAGGCUCUGCAAGUGUGGGGAAGAGGGUAUGUGGGAAAUCUCUGUAUGAAAAAAAAAAAAAGGAUACUGAGGAGUAGGGUAACAAGCUCAUACCACAACCUGAAGGGCAGGUCAGCAAAGGAACUUUACAAUCAUCCCUGCAAAAAUAGGGGAGAGGAGCUGGUAGACAAGUCCACAGGGAUCAAAGAACAAAACAUAGAUUGGUCAUUUCAAAAUUACUUUUCUUGU
Molecule: long non-coding RNA, 650 nt
Filed under: Homo sapiens (human)
Lineage: Eukaryota; Metazoa; Chordata; Mammalia; Primates; Hominidae
Description: non-protein coding lnc-CD24-3:7
Source: RNAcentral